GCGGGUGUGGCGAAAUUGGUAGACGCAUCAGAUUUAGGUUCUGGCGGGAGACCGUGGGGGUUCGAGUCCCUCCACCCGCA
RNAcentral lists this transfer RNA (80 nucleotides) under Bartonella bacilliformis KC583. It matches the Rfam family "tRNA". Rfam says of the family: Transfer RNA (tRNA) molecules are approximately 80 nucleotides in length. Their secondary structure includes four short double-helical elements and three loops (D, anti-codon, and T loops). The record is from Rfam by way of RNAcentral. Lineage: Bacteria; Pseudomonadati; Pseudomonadota; Alphaproteobacteria; Hyphomicrobiales; Bartonellaceae.